GGGGCCGUAGUCUAGCCUGGCUAGGAUACGUGGGUUCAACCACGCCUGAGGCUCGGCUCGGGAUCAACGUAGCAGACGCGAGCCCGAGUGAUCCCGGGUUCAAAUCCCGGCGGCCCCA
RNAcentral lists this transfer RNA (118 nucleotides) under Vulcanisaeta distributa DSM 14429. It matches the Rfam family "tRNA". Rfam says of the family: Transfer RNA (tRNA) molecules are approximately 80 nucleotides in length. Their secondary structure includes four short double-helical elements and three loops (D, anti-codon, and T loops). Further hydrogen bonds mediate the characteristic L-shaped molecular structure. tRNAs have two regions of fundamental functional importance: the anti-codon, which is responsible for specific mRNA codon recognition, and the 3' end, to which the tRNAs corresponding amino acid is attached (by aminoacyl-tRNA synthetases). tRNAs cope with the degeneracy of the genetic code in two manners: having more than one tRNA (with a specific anti-codon) for a particular amino acid; and 'wobble' base-pairing, i.e. permitting non-standard base-pairing at the 3rd anti-codon position. Lineage: Archaea; Thermoproteati; Thermoproteota; Thermoprotei; Thermoproteales; Thermoproteaceae. The record is from Rfam by way of RNAcentral.